GGGUUGUGAGGUUAAGCGACUAAGCGUACACGGUGGAUGCCCUGGCAGUCAGAGGCGAUGAAGGACGUGCUAAUCUGCGAUAAGCGUCGGUAAGGUGAUAUGAACCGUUAUAACCGGCGAUUUCCGAAUGGGGAAACCCAGUGUGUUUCGACACACUAUCAUUAACUGAAUCCAUAGGUUAAUGAGGCGAACCGGGGGAACUGAAACAUCUAAGUACCCCGAGGAAAAGAAAUCAACCGAGAUUCCCCCAGUAGCGGCGAGCGAACGGGGAGCAGCCCAGAGCCUGAAUCAGUGUGUGUGUUAGUGGAAGCGUCUGGAAAGGCGCGCGAUACAGGGUGACAGCCCCGUACACAAAAAUGCACAUGCUGUGAGCUCGAUGAGUAGGGCGGGACACGUGGUAUCCUGUCUGAAUAUGGGGGGACCAUCCUCCAAGGCUAAAUACUCCUGACUGACCGAUAGUGAACCAGUACCGUGAGGGAAAGGCGAAAAGAACCCCGGCGAGGGGAGUGAAAAAGAACCUGAAACCGUGUACGUACAAGCAGUGGGAGCACGCUUAGGCGUGUGACUGCGUACCUUUUGUAUAAUGGGUCAGCGACUUAUAUUCUGUAGCAAGGUUAACCGAAUAGGGGAGCCGAAGGGAAACCGAGUCUUAACUGGGCGUUAAGUUGCAGGGUAUAGACCCGAAACCCGGUGAUCUAGCCAUGGGCAGGUUGAAGGUUGGGUAACACUAACUGGAGGACCGAACCGACUAAUGUUGAAAAAUUAGCGGAUGACUUGUGGCUGGGGGUGAAAGGCCAAUCAAACCGGGAGAUAGCUGGUUCUCCCCGAAAGCUAUUUAGGUAGCGCCUCGUGAAUUCAUCUCCGGGGGUAGAGCACUGUUUCGGCAAGGGGGUCAUCCCGACUUACCAACCCGAUGCAAACUGCGAAUACCGGAGAAUGUUAUCACGGGAGACACACGGCGGGUGCUAACGUCCGUCGUGAAGAGGGAAACAACCCAGACCGCCAGCUAAGGUCCCAAAGUCAUGGUUAAGUGGGAAACGAUGUGGGAAGGCCCAGACAGCCAGGAUGUUGGCUUAGAAGCAGCCAUCAUUUAAAGAAAGCGUAAUAGCUCACUGGUCGAGUCGGCCUGCGCGGAAGAUGUAACGGGGCUAAACCAUGCACCGAAGCUGCGGCAGCGACGCUUAUGCGUUGUUGGGUAGGGGAGCGUUCUGUAAGCCUGUGAAGGUGUGCUGUGAGGUAUGCUGGAGGUAUCAGAAGUGCGAAUGCUGACAUAAGUAACGAUAAAGCGGGUGAAAAGCCCGCUCGCCGGAAGACCAAGGGUUCCUGUCCAACGUUAAUCGGGGCAGGGUGAGUCGACCCCUAAGGCGAGGCCGAAAGGCGUAGUCGAUGGGAAACAGGUUAAUAUUCCUGUACUUGGUGUUACUGCGAAGGGGGGACGGAGAAGGCUAUGUUGGCCGGGCGACGGUUGUCCCGGUUUAAGCGUGUAGGCUGGUUUUCCAGGCAAAUCCGGAAAAUCAAGGCUGAGGCGUGAUGACGAGGCACUACGGUGCUGAAGCAACAAAUGCCCUGCUUCCAGGAAAAGCCUCUAAGCAUCAGGUAACAUCAAAUCGUACCCCAAACCGACACAGGUGGUCAGGUAGAGAAUACCAAGGCGCUUGAGAGAACUCGGGUGAAGGAACUAGGCAAAAUGGUGCCGUAACUUCGGGAGAAGGCACGCUGAUAUGUAGGUGAAGUCCCUCGCGGAUGGAGCUGAAAUCAGUCGAAGAUACCAGCUGGCUGCAACUGUUUAUUAAAAACACAGCACUGUGCAAACACGAAAGUGGACGUAUACGGUGUGACGCCUGCCCGGUGCCGGAAGGUUAAUUGAUGGGGUCAGCGCAAGCGAAGCUCUUGAUCGAAGCCCCGGUAAACGGCGGCCGUAACUAUAACGGUCCUAAGGUAGCGAAAUUCCUUGUCGGGUAAGUUCCGACCUGCACGAAUGGCGUAAUGAUGGCCAGGCUGUCUCCACCCGAGACUCAGUGAAAUUGAACUCGCUGUGAAGAUGCAGUGUACCCGCGGCAAGACGGAAAGACCCCGUGAACCUUUACUAUAGCUUGACACUGAACAUUGAGCCUUGAUGUGUAGGAUAGGUGGGAGGCUU
RNAcentral lists this ribosomal RNA (2140 nucleotides) under Escherichia coli. RNAcentral describes it as "bacterial LSU rRNA". It matches the Rfam family "Bacterial large subunit ribosomal RNA", at positions 1 to 2157 of the family's 2925-position model. The record is from RNAcentral. Lineage: Bacteria; Pseudomonadati; Pseudomonadota; Gammaproteobacteria; Enterobacterales; Enterobacteriaceae.